UCUACCUACGGGGGGCAGCAGUGAGGAAUAUUGGUCAAUGGUCGGGAGACUGAACCAGCCAAGCCGCGUGAGGGAGGAAGGUACAGAGUAUCGUAAACCUCUUUUGUCAGGGAACAAAGGCGGGGACGUGUCCCCGGAUGAGUGUACCUGAAGAAAAAGCAUCGGCUAACUCCGUGCCAGCAGCCGCGGUAAUACGGAGGAUGCGAGCGUUAUCCGGAUUUAUUGGGUUUAAAGGGUGCGUAGGCGGACUGUUAAGUCAGCGGUAAAAGCCCGGGGCUCAACCCCGGCGAGCCGUUGAAACUGGC
This 305-nucleotide ribosomal RNA is filed under the name uncultured bacterium. RNAcentral describes it as "bacterial SSU rRNA". It matches the Rfam family "Bacterial small subunit ribosomal RNA", at positions 334 to 637 of the family's 1533-position model. The record is from RNAcentral.